Molecule: long non-coding RNA, 513 nt
Organism: Eubalaena glacialis (North Atlantic right whale)
Lineage: Eukaryota; Metazoa; Chordata; Mammalia; Artiodactyla; Balaenidae
Exons: 3
Source: RefSeq, a predicted model, not a curated record
ACUCAUGACUAGGCACUAAAGCACUGAAACGGGAUUCUGGAACACAGAACCUCAUGGAGGAACCAGAUUUCCAGGAGAUUGGAGCAAAGGGCGGGGAGUGGCAAGGAGUGUCUAGACCCAGCCAAUCUGCUGAUAGUCCUCUGCAAAUAAUCGUGGUUGGAUUUUGAGGCAGCUCCAGAAGGAAGUGACUUCAAAAUGGGCUUCCCUGGUGGCGCAGUGGUUGAGAGUCUGCCUGCCAAUGCGUGGGACGCGGGUUCGAGCCCUGGUCUGGGAAGAUCCCACAUGCCGCGGAGCAACUCGGCCCGUGAGCCACAAUUGCUGAGCCUGCGCGUCUGGAGCCUGUGCUCGGCAACGAGAGGCUGCAAUAGUGAGAGGCCCGCGCACUGCGAUGAAGAGUGGCCCCCGCACCGCGAUGAAGAGUGGCCCCGGCUUGCCACAACUAGAGAAAGCCCUCGCACAGAAACGAAGACCCAACACAGCCAUACAUACAUACAUACAUACAUACAUACAUAA